GCUGGGUGUGGUGGCUCAUGCCUGUAAUCCCAGCAGUUUGGGAGGCUGAGGCAGGAGGAUCAUGAGCUCAAAGCCAGCCUCAGCGAAAGUGAGGUGCUAAGCAACUCAGUGAGACCCUGUCUCUA
This 125-nucleotide small RNA is filed under the name Marmota monax (woodchuck). The record is from RNAcentral. Lineage: Eukaryota; Metazoa; Chordata; Mammalia; Rodentia; Sciuridae.